Long non-coding RNA from Gossypium arboreum, 817 nucleotides. RefSeq lists it as uncharacterized. Lineage: Eukaryota; Viridiplantae; Streptophyta; Magnoliopsida; Malvales; Malvaceae. The transcript is spliced from 3 exons. The record is from RefSeq and is a predicted model, not a curated record.
UAAAUGAAUGGGUAAGAAGGAAAUAAAGUAUUAUUAUGGAAUGGAAAGGGUGGCCAACAAAACAAUGACGGCAAUGGGAAUCGUGCUUGGCUUAUUUUCAAUCUUUGAUUUUGAGUGCACAUGCAGCCAUGUGAACUCAUCUUUUCUGGACCUAAUCCUAUAGUUUUAUCAAUCAAAAGCGUAAUCUCUUCACCACCUCAAAUAACCAAAAUAUUUUGUUAGCUAUUUUAACCUCGCUAAGCAACAACAAGAAUGAAGGAGAAGAGGGGAGCAAACAGAUGCCGCCAUCGUCUGGAGAUUUUCCACAUCUCAUUUGAGCAACAUCGUGUAGUUAACAUUCUGACCCACAACUCGUGUGAGCACUAUUGAAAGGGAAAGGUUACGGUUAUAUGGAAAGGCACACUAUGUGUGAGCAUUCCACAGCAUCCAAUGUAAUUCUAGAUGGUUCAACGAGUAAGUAAAGGUUAAAGGCAAGAUUAUCGGAAGCUUGAUUGAUUAGAGGCCUGUCGGAGAUCUAUCAUACUAUCCAACAACCUUUUCGGUAGUUUUUGAGUUAUUUUGGCCAGGUUAUAAAUGGCAUGUAUAGGGCUUUGUUUAUUGAUAGUUCAUGAAUGUGUUAAUGAUCAUUGUGGUACAAAAAUGCUUUUGGGGUUUAAGUCUUGUUUGAUGGACUUUUAAUGCUUUGAUAAGUUUAAGUCUUUUGGUCACUUUUAGGUAUUUAGAAUAUAUGAUCCUUUUUGGUAUGUUUGUGAUGAUAUGUAAAUGAUUAUAUGUAAUGUUAUUUGGUAGUUAAAGGAAAUAGUUUUUAUGCUUGAAA